AGUAACGAAAAUAUUGGUGAGAAUCCAAUGCCCCGAAAACCCAAGGUUUCCUCCGCAAGGUUCGUCCAUGGAGGGUGAGUCAGGGCCUAAGAUCAGGCCGAAAGGCGUAGUCGAUGGACAACAUGUCAAUAUUCCUGUACUACCCCUUGUUGGUACGGAGGGACGGAGGAGGCUAGGUUAGCCGAAAGAUGGUUAUAGGUUUAAGGACACAAGGUGACCCUACUUUUUUAGGGUAAGAAGGGGUAGAGAAAAUGCCUCGAGCUGAGGUCCGAGUACCAAGCGCUGCAGCGCUGAAGUAUGAGCCCCGUGGACUAGCGAGUGCUUCUCCAUGAGGCUCAUUCCAGGCGCUACGGCGCUGAAGUAUUUAACUGAUGCCAUAGUCCCAGGAAAAGCUCGAACGACCUUCGACAAAAGGGUACUUGUACCCGAAACCGACACAGGUGGGUAGGUAGAGAAUACCUAGGGG
Molecule: ribosomal RNA, 466 nt
Filed under: Triticum dicoccoides
Lineage: Eukaryota; Viridiplantae; Streptophyta; Magnoliopsida; Poales; Poaceae
Description: rRNA LSU_rRNA_eukarya
Rfam family: Bacterial large subunit ribosomal RNA
Source: RNAcentral